AGGAAUUCAGAUGGAAAGAUUAUUCUGUGUUAUGCUGGGCCGUGGGAAUUUCCUCAAGUGGAGUUGUUGGUAACACUGUUGCUAAGAGAGAGUAUGCACCCUUUAUAAGCGGAUGGACGUGUUGAUGGUGCAGAUAUGCAUGGUUUUCAUGGAGGACUCAUACAUCACAUGAGUAAGAUGGGCUGCGACGUCAAAUCUUCCCAAUUAAGUAUAUGUGCUUGCCUCUUAUCAACGACAACUCCCCUAGUUUCUUUUGGGAUCCCCUCGUUCAGAGAGCCCAAGUCAAACUCGAUGGGUGGAAAGCGAGAUUCUUGUCUUUCGCAGGAAUGUCAGUUCUCAUAAAAGCAACAAUUUCUGACCCCUGCAACACCAUGAGAACCUGUCAUCGGUGGGUCGAGUGUGCCCACUUAAGGAAGAUCAUCCCUAGACAUUUUAAAGUGGGCAACAUAGUACAUGAAAAAGAUAUUA
Amborella trichopoda is the source of this 468-nucleotide long non-coding RNA. RefSeq lists it as uncharacterized. Lineage: Eukaryota; Viridiplantae; Streptophyta; Magnoliopsida; Amborellales; Amborellaceae. The record is from RefSeq and is a predicted model, not a curated record.